RNAcentral lists this ribosomal RNA (468 nucleotides) under uncultured bacterium. RNAcentral's name for it is "partial 16S ribosomal RNA". It matches the Rfam family "Bacterial small subunit ribosomal RNA", at positions 28 to 507 of the family's 1533-position model. The record is from RNAcentral.
GACGAACGCUGGCGGCGUGCUUAACACAUGCAAGUCGAACGGAAAGGCCCUGCUUUUGUGGGGUGCUCGAGUGGCGAACGGGUGAGUAACACGUGAGUAACCUGCCCUUGACUUUGGGAUAACUUCAGGAAACUGGGGCUAAUACCGGAUAGGAGCUCCUGCUGCAUGGUGGUGGUUGGAAAGUUUCGGCGGUUGGGGAUGUACUCGCGGCUUAUCAGCUUGUUGGUGGGGUAGUGGCUUACCAAGGCUUUGACGGGUAGCCGGCCUGAGAGGGUGACCGGCCACAUUGGGACUGAGAUACGGCCCAGACUCCUACGGGAGGCAGCAGUGGGGAAUAUUGCACAAUGGGCGGAAGCCUGAUGCAGCAACGCCGCGUGCGGGAUGACGGCCUUCGGGUUGUAAACCGCUUUCGCCUGUGACGAAGCGUGAGUGACGGUAAUGGGUAAAGAAGCACCGGCUAACUACGUG